Molecule: ribosomal RNA, 348 nt
Filed under: Triticum aestivum (bread wheat)
Lineage: Eukaryota; Viridiplantae; Streptophyta; Magnoliopsida; Poales; Poaceae
Description: partial small subunit ribosomal RNA
Source: RNAcentral
GGGACUGAACUCUGCCCAAAGAAUGCCUGGCAAUUUUAUGUAUGGUGCAAUAUGUUCCUACCUAAUGGCGCCAGAUUUUAUACUGUCAGGUUGGCUGCUGUAACUUGGGCUAUUUGGUUGGCUCGGAACAAAGCUACUUUUGAGAAAAAUUUGAUCAAAUCUCCUUUUGAGAUUGUGUUCUCGGCGUGUUCUUUUCUUCUGUACUGAGCAGGUCUGCAGCCGGAGGAAGAAGCAAUGAAGCUGAAGCAGGGGACUGAGAUGAUCAGAUCGAGCACGGCCAGGCUGAUGGAGAUGUGCGAGAAGACCAGGCAGCCGGCAGAAGAUGCGAGAGAGGUGCUCCCUUGGUGA